GCAAAUAUAGCCAACAUUCGAAAGGUUUGUUCAUGCGUUUUCUCAUUACCCUGGAUACACGCACACAUAAAUUUUCUGGAGAUUUUAGAAAAGAUUGCAAUGCAUUUAUCUUUUACCAAAAUGUUGCAAAACACACUGUCUGCGUUGGGUCUCCCUUCUUCAUAUAACCUGUUAUUUAACUGAGGGGUAAAUAUGUAGCCAACCACAAUCAUGUCUAGUAGGUUUUCUUAAAGCUAAAUUUGUUAAGACUACAUUCAGCUCCAGGAUGAUACUGAUUCAGUGUUCAUGACGGUGAAUUAUUGGAUAUGGGGAUUGAGAUGAUGAAUGGUGGGUUUCUUAAGUCUAAAUUUGUUAGACUAUAUUCAGCUCCAAGGUGAGACUAAUUCAGUGUUCAUGAUGGGGAAUUAUUGGAUAUGGGGAUUAAGAUGAUGAAUGAAGUUCACAAACAAUCUAAUUGUGUACUGUGUAAUGUUAAUGCUUUUGUUUGCUUUGAUUUCACUGAACCAGUUAAUCUUGCUUAUUGGUUCCUCUAUAUUGAGUUCAUAAGAAUUCAUUCAAAGAUUUUGUUAUUCCUGUUGGUGAGGCUCAAUGAUGCAUAUUAUCCCGAGGAAUACCUUACAAGCAUUUGGUCUUUAUACUAUGGUCAUUUUUUUGGGUAAAUUUCAAACAGACACACACAGAUUCUGCAAGAUUUCUGUUUUGUUUUUUUGUUAGUGGAAGAGAUGCUCCAUAUUUUUUGUGACAUGUUUGAUCUCUUUUUCCCUCUAAAUUACAUUAUUGGCCUUUCUUAUUUCUAUUUCAGAUAUCAGGAGCAAUGAUAGAGA
Molecule: unclassified non-coding RNA, 824 nt
Filed under: Hevea brasiliensis (rubber tree)
Lineage: Eukaryota; Viridiplantae; Streptophyta; Magnoliopsida; Malpighiales; Euphorbiaceae
Source: RNAcentral